RNAcentral lists this ribosomal RNA (465 nucleotides) under uncultured bacterium. RNAcentral describes it as "partial 16S ribosomal RNA". It matches the Rfam family "Bacterial small subunit ribosomal RNA", at positions 338 to 795 of the family's 1533-position model. The record is from RNAcentral.
CCUACGGGAGGCAGCAGUAGGGAAUUUUCGUCAAUGGGCGCAAGCCUGAACGAGCGAUGCCGUGUGAGUGAAGAAGGCCUUCGGGUCGUAAAGCUCUGUUGCGGGGGAAAAAAGGCAGCAUCAGGAAAUGGGUGCUGACUGAUGGUGCCCCGCCAGAAAGUCACGGCUAACUACGUGCCAGCAGCCGCGGUAAUACGUAGGUGGCGAGCGUUAUCCGGAAGGAUUGGGCGUAAAGGGUGCGCAGGCGGUCCUGCAAGUCUGGAGUGAAACGCAUGAGCUCAACUCAUGCAUGGCUUUGGAAACUGGAGGACUGGAGAGCAGGAGAGGGCGGUGGAACUCCAUGUGUAGCGGUAAAAUGCGUAGAUAUAUGGAAGAACACCAGUGGCGAAGGCGGCCGCCUGGCCUGUUGCUGACGCUGAGGCACGAAAGCGUGGGGAGCAAAUAGGAUUAGAUACCCUAGUAGUC